This is a long non-coding RNA of Epinephelus fuscoguttatus (brown-marbled grouper), 513 nucleotides long. RefSeq lists it as uncharacterized. NCBI's taxonomy places the organism in Eukaryota, Metazoa, Chordata, Actinopteri, Perciformes, Serranidae. The transcript is spliced from 3 exons. The record is from RefSeq and is a predicted model, not a curated record.
GGAAGAUGGCCCUCCAGCGGGUUUUAAGCAUCCCGCUGGCAGUAUGGGGUCAUGAGGGUCACUGGAUGCUGCAGGCAAGGGUACCCCCCAUCUCCAAGCAGGUAGAAGCCAGCUGGUGGGUACAGGGACUCCUUGUACAUUGGACAUCUUCGGAGGAUGAGGGCAUCAUGGACUGACCCCGUGUUUCCAACGUAGGAGAAUGCGGACGUGGCACCCAUCUAUGGCACCAGCCACACACCGAAAUGCCUCGUGCCCAGCCAGACGUGCAAAGCCUGUCCCCACCUCCUCCAUCUCUUCAGGCUUGGGGAAAUGGAUAACCUUGUGGAGGAUGGCCAUCAUGUCCUCCACUGAAGUGUGGACUACCCUGCCAACGGUGGCCCUUGGCAUGGCAAAUAUGUCUGCUGUAACUCUAUAGGAGGUGCCACAUGCCAGCCAGUAGAGACAGACAGCCACCUCAAUCUCAUGGCUCCAACCAUGUGGCUUUUGCCAAGGCAGCAUCUGGACCAGUAAAUU